Molecule: ribosomal RNA, 394 nt
Filed under: uncultured Glomeromycotina
Lineage: Eukaryota; Fungi; Glomeromycota
Description: SSU rRNA
Rfam family: Eukaryotic small subunit ribosomal RNA
Source: RNAcentral
UUCUCCUUUCUGACGAACCAUGAUGUCAUUAAUUUGGUGUUAUGGGAAGUUAGGACUGUUACUUUGAAAAAAUUAGAGUGUUUAAAGCAGGCUUUGGCUUGAAUACAUUGGCAUGGAAUAAUGAAAUAGGACGUUCGAACCUAUUUUGUUGGUUUCUAGGAUCAACGUAAUGAUUAAUAGGGAUAGUUGGGGGCAUUAGUAUUCAAUUGUCAGAGGUGAAAUUCUUGGAUUUAUUGAAGACUAACUACUGCGAAAGCAUUUGCCAAGGAUGUUUUCAUUAAUCAAGAACGAAAGUUAGGGGAUCGAAGACGAUCAGAUACCGUCGUAGUCUUAACCAUAAACUAUGCCGACUAGGGAUCGGAUGAUGUUAAUUUUUUAAUGACUCAUUCGGCCC